RNAcentral lists this ribosomal RNA (253 nucleotides) under uncultured bacterium. RNAcentral's name for it is "partial 16S ribosomal RNA". It matches the Rfam family "Bacterial small subunit ribosomal RNA", at positions 524 to 776 of the family's 1533-position model. The record is from RNAcentral.
CACGUAGGAGGCGAGCGUUGUCCGGAAUCAUUGGGCGUAAAGAGCGCGCAGGCGGCCCGGCAAGUCGGAUGUGAAAUCCCUGGGCUCAACCCAGGAACUGCAUUUGAAACUGUCGGCCUUGAGUGGUGGAGAGGGAAGCGGAAUUCCUGGUGUAGAGGUGAAAUUCGUAGAUAUCAGGAGGAACACCGGUGGCGAAGGCGACUUCCUGGACACCAACUGACGCUGAGACGCGAAAGCGUGGGGAGCAAACAGG